CGGGACGUGGCGUAAAGGCAGCGUUCAUGCUUUGGGAGCAUGUGGUAAGAGUUCGAGUCUCUUCGUCCCGACCA
Molecule: transfer RNA, 74 nt
Filed under: Vibrio phage V07
Lineage: Duplodnaviria; Heunggongvirae; Uroviricota; Caudoviricetes; Pantevenvirales; Straboviridae
Also listed under: 1 other name
Description: tRNA-Pro
Rfam family: tRNA
About the family: Transfer RNA (tRNA) molecules are approximately 80 nucleotides in length. Their secondary structure includes four short double-helical elements and three loops (D, anti-codon, and T loops).
Source: RNAcentral